CCGGCGAUGUCCGAAUGGGGAAACCCAGUGCAAUUCGUUGCACUAUCGUUAACUGAAUACAUAGGUUAACGAGGCGAACCGGGGGAACUGAAACAUCUAAGUACCCCGAGGAAAAGAAAUCAACCGAGAUUCCCCCAGUAGCGGCGAGCGAACGGGGAGCAGCCCAGAGUCUGAAUCAGCUUGUGUGUUAGUGGAACGGUCUGGAAAGUCCGACGGUACAGGGUGAUAGUCCCGUACACCAAAAUGCACAGGCUGUGAACUCGAAGAGUAGGGCGGGACACGUGGUAUCCUGUCUGAAUAUGGGGGGACCAUCCUCCAAGGCUAAAUACUCCUGACUGACCGAUAGUGAACCAGUACCGUGAGGGAAAGGCGAAAAGAACCCCGGCGAGGGGAGUGAAAAAGAACCUGAAACCGUGUACGUACAAGCAGUGGGAGCACCUUCGGGUGUGACUGCGUACCUUUUGUAUAAUGGGUCAGCGACUUAUAUUCUGUAGCAAGGUUAACCGUAUAGGGGAGCCGCAGGGAAACCGAGUCUUAACUGGGCGUUAAGUUGCAGGGUAUAGACCCGAAACCCGGUGAUCUAGCCAUGGGCAGGUUGAAGGUUGGGUAACACUAACUGGAGGACCGAACCGACUAAUGUUGAAAAAUUAGCGGAUGACUUGUGGCUGGGGGUGAAAGGCCAAUCAAACCGGGAGAUAGCUGGUUCUCCCCGAAAGCUAUUUAGGUAGCGCCUCGUGAAUUCAUCUUCGGGGGUAGAGCACUGUUUCGGCUAGGGGGUCAUCCCGACUUACCAACCCGAUGCAAACUACGAAUACCGAAGAAUGUUAUCACGGGAGACACACGGCGGGUGCUAACGUCCGUCGUGAAGAGGGAAACAACCCAGACCGCCAGCUAAGGUCCCAAAGUCAUGGUUAAGUGGGAAACGAUGUGGGAAGGCACAGACAGCCAGGAUGUUGGCUUAGAAGCAGCCAUCAUUUAAAGAAAGCGUAAUAGCUCACUGGUCGAGUCGGCCUGCGCGGAAGAUGUAACGGGGCUAAACCAUGCACCGAAGCUGCGGCAGCGACACUAUGUGUUGUUGGGUAGGGGAGCGUUCUGUAAGCCUGCGAAGGUGACCUGUGAGGGUUGCUGGAGGUAUCAGAAGUGCGAAUGCUGACAUAAGUAACGAUAAAGCGGGUGAAAAGCCCGCUCGCCGGAAGACCAAGGGUUCCUGUCCAACGUUAAUCGGGGCAGGGUGAGUCGACCCCUAAGGCGAGGCCGAAAGGCGUAGUCGAUGGGAAACAGGUUAAUAUUCCUGUACUUGGUGUUACUGCGAAGGGGGGACGGAGAAGGCUAUGUUAGCCGGGCGACGGUUGUCCCGGUUUAAGCAUGUAGGCUGGUUAUCCAGGCAAAUCCGGAUAAUCAAGGCUGAGGUGUGAUGACGAGGCACUACGGUGCUGAAGUAACAAAUGCCCUGCUUCCAGGAAAAGCCUCUAAGCAUCAGGUAACAUCAAAUCGUACCCCAAACCGACACAGGUGGUCAGGUAGAGAAUACCAAGGCGCUUGAGAGAACUCGGGUGAAGGAACUAGGCAAAAUGGUGCCGUAACUUCGGGAGAAGGCACGCUGGUGUGUAGGUGAAGUCCCUGCGGAUGGAGCUGAGACCAGUCGAAGAUACCAGCUGGCUGCAACUGUUUAUUAAAAACACAGCACUGUGCAAACACGAAAGUGGACGUAUACGGUGUGACGCCUGCCCGGUGCCGGAAGGUUAAUUGAUGGGGUUAUCCGUAAGGAGAAGCUCUUGAUCGAAGCCCCGGUAAACGGCGGCCGUAACUAUAACGGUCCUAAGGUAGCGAAAUUCCUUGUCGGGUAAGUUCCGACCUGCACGAAUGGCGUAAUGAUGGCCAGGCUGUCUCCACCCGAGACUCAGUGAAAUUGAACUCGCUGUGAAGAUGCAGUGUACCCGCGGCAAGACGGAAAGACCCCGUGAACCUUUACUAUAGCUUGACACUGAACAUUGAGCCUUGAUGUGUAGGAUAGGUGGGAGGCUUUGAAGCGUGGACGCCAGUCUGCGUGGAGCCAACCUUGAAAUACCACCCUUUAAUGUUUGAUGUUCUAACGUUGGCCCCUUACCGGGGUUGCGGACAGUGUCUGGUGGGUAGUUUGACUGGGGCGGUCUCCUCCCAAAGCGUAACGGAGGAGCACGAAGGUUAGCUAAUCCUGGUCGGACAUCAGGAGGUUAGUGCAAUGGCAUAAGCUAGCUUGACUGCGAGCGUGACGGCGCGAGCAGGUGCGAAAGCAGGUCAUAGUGAUCCGGUGGUUCUGA
This 2300-nucleotide ribosomal RNA is filed under the name Klebsiella pneumoniae. RNAcentral describes it as "partial 23S ribosomal RNA". It matches the Rfam family "Bacterial large subunit ribosomal RNA", at positions 104 to 2432 of the family's 2925-position model. Lineage: Bacteria; Pseudomonadati; Pseudomonadota; Gammaproteobacteria; Enterobacterales; Enterobacteriaceae. The record is from RNAcentral.